RNAcentral lists this ribosomal RNA (404 nucleotides) under Agrobacterium sp. 16. RNAcentral describes it as "bacterial SSU rRNA". It matches the Rfam family "Bacterial small subunit ribosomal RNA", at positions 42 to 494 of the family's 1533-position model. Lineage: Bacteria; Pseudomonadati; Pseudomonadota; Alphaproteobacteria; Hyphomicrobiales; Rhizobiaceae. The record is from RNAcentral.
GCAGGCUUAACACAUGCAAGUCGAACGCCCCGCAAGGGGAGUGGCAGACGGGUGAGUAACGCGUGGGAACAUACCCUUUCCUGCGGAAUAGCUCCGGGAAACUGGAAUUAAUACCGCAUACGCCCUACGGGGGAAAGAUUUAUCGGGGAAGGAUUGGCCCGCGUUGGAUUAGCUAGUUGGUGGGGUAAAGGCCUACCAAGGCGACGAUCCAUAGCUGGUCUGAGAGGAUGAUCAGCCACAUUGGGACUGAGACACGGCCCAAACUCCUACGGGAGGCAGCAGUGGGGAAUAUUGGACAAUGGGCGCAAGCCUGAUCCAGCCAUGCCGCGUGAGUGAUGAAGGCCUUAGGGUUGUAAAGCUCUUUCACCGAUGAAGAUAAUGACGGUAGUCGGAGAAGAAGCCCC